Hibiscus syriacus is the source of this 156-nucleotide long non-coding RNA. RefSeq lists it as uncharacterized. NCBI's taxonomy places the organism in Eukaryota, Viridiplantae, Streptophyta, Magnoliopsida, Malvales, Malvaceae. The transcript has 2 exons. The record is from RefSeq and is a predicted model, not a curated record.
CAAAUUUUCUUUCUCAAUGGAAUUAUCUAAAUUUUCUUCUAUUUCGGCCGGUUCUCGCUAUCCUUUUCGUCCUCUCCUUCAUCAUACUCUGGUGGUUGUUGGCAUGGAAGUUAGUCUGGUACACGUGCCACUGGUUCAAGAAAUUUUGGGUCUGAA